RNAcentral lists this small nucleolar RNA (89 nucleotides) under Sciurus vulgaris (Eurasian red squirrel). RNAcentral's name for it is "Small nucleolar RNA U13 (ENSSVLG00005021061.1)". It matches the Rfam family "Small nucleolar RNA U13". The record is from Rfam by way of RNAcentral. Lineage: Eukaryota; Metazoa; Chordata; Mammalia; Rodentia; Sciuridae.
AUUCUUUUGUGGUUCAUAAACAUGAUGAUUGGGUAUUUAUACCACCAUGUGAAAUAUGCUUCCCUUGAAUUUUGUUAAGAUGUCUGAGG